CUGUAUUUUAUAGGUUUUACAGUAAUUGUGUAUAUUUUUAUAUUUAGUUUAUUGUGUUGUAUUCUGUAUAUUAUAUGAUUUAUAUUGAUUAAUUGAAGCUAUAGUAUACUAAUUACAGAUUGUAAUUAGUUGAUUAGUCUAUAUAUAUAUGCUUUGUUCAUUACAUUUACGUAUUUGACAGUUGGACUUAUUGACAUACGACAUUUUCUACUGGUUUGGGUAACUUUGGUUU
Molecule: long non-coding RNA, 232 nt
Filed under: Mytilus galloprovincialis (Mediterranean mussel)
Lineage: Eukaryota; Metazoa; Mollusca; Bivalvia; Mytilida; Mytilidae
Source: RNAcentral